ACAUCUAGCACAGUGACUGUCACCAGCACACAAACCUCAGCUGCGACAACUACCGGGGUACCUCUUUCUACAGCUACAACCGCCAACACUAACCAAAAUGUUACUACAGUUGUCCUUUACAUCAUGGUCGGGUGCUGUGUCCUGCUUAUAGUGCUGGCUGUAUUCAUCGUUGCUGCUAUUGUCUUGAUAAGGAUCAAACAACAAGGUGUUCACCAACGUAGAACCCCUUCGACAUCUACGACAUCGAACAUCGUUCAACGUCAACGUUAUGAUGUUGUCGAAUGUUCACCUGUUGGUGGCGCUGAAAACAGUCAGCUGUAUGCGGAAAACAGUUUAGGAUACCACACACUUAACUUCAAACGUUUCAACCAAGUGAAUGUGGUCGACCCUACAGAUGCCAAUACCACCAGGAACGGAUUAGUACCACUGGAC
Molecule: long non-coding RNA, 432 nt
Organism: Haliotis rubra (blacklip abalone)
Lineage: Eukaryota; Metazoa; Mollusca; Gastropoda; Lepetellida; Haliotidae
Exons: 3
Source: RefSeq, a predicted model, not a curated record